AUUGAACGCUGGCGGCAGGCCUAACACAUGCAAGUCGAGCGAGCGGCGGACGGGUGAGAAAUGUAUGGGGACUGCCCGAUAGAGGGGGAUAACUCCUGGAAACGGUAGCUAAUCCCGCAUACUAUCGGAUAACCCAUAUGGGAUUAGCUAGUAGGUGAGGUAAUGGCUCACCUAGGCGACGAUCCCUGGCUGGUCUGAGAGGAUGAUCAGCCACACUAGGAAUAAGACAGUGCCCAGAAUCCUACGGAGGCAGCAGUGGGGAAUAUUGCACAAUGGGCGAAAGCCUGAUGCAGCCAUGCCGCGUGUAUGAAGAAGGCCCUAGAGUUGUAAAGUACUUUCAGUCGGGAGGCGUUACCGACAGAAGAAGCACCGGCUAACUCCGUGCCAGCAGCCGCGGUAAUAC
This 403-nucleotide ribosomal RNA is filed under the name uncultured bacterium. Its description in RNAcentral is "partial 16S ribosomal RNA". It matches the Rfam family "Bacterial small subunit ribosomal RNA", at positions 30 to 526 of the family's 1533-position model. The record is from RNAcentral.